ACCCCGCACAAGCGGUGGAUCAUGUUGUUUAAUUCGAUGAUACGCGAAGAACCUUACCUGGCCUUGACAUCCCGGGAAUUUCCUGGAAACAGGAGAAUGCUUUCAUUAGAGAGAACCUGGAGACAGGUGCUGCAUGGCUGUCGUCAGCUCGUGUCGUGAGAUGUUGGGUUAAGUCCCGCAACGAGCGCAACCCUUGCCUCUAGUUGCCAGCAGUUCGGCUGGGCACUCUAAAGGGACUGCCGGUGUCAAACCGGAGGAAGGUGGGGAUGACGUCAAGUCCUCAUGGCCUUUAUGGCCAGGGCUACACACGUACUACAAUGGCCGGUACAAAGGGCAGCGACAUUGCGAGAUGGAGCGAAUCCCGAAAAGCCGGUCUCAGUCCGGAUUGGAGUCUGCAACUCGACUCCAUGAAGUUGGAAUCGCUAGUAAUCGUGGAUCAGCAUGCCACGGUGAAUACGUUCCCGGGCCUU
This 470-nucleotide ribosomal RNA is filed under the name uncultured Desulfobulbus sp. Its description in RNAcentral is "bacterial SSU rRNA". It matches the Rfam family "Bacterial small subunit ribosomal RNA", at positions 920 to 1378 of the family's 1533-position model. Lineage: Bacteria; Pseudomonadati; Thermodesulfobacteriota; Desulfobulbia; Desulfobulbales; Desulfobulbaceae. The record is from RNAcentral.